Molecule: long non-coding RNA, 564 nt
Organism: Prunus dulcis (almond)
Lineage: Eukaryota; Viridiplantae; Streptophyta; Magnoliopsida; Rosales; Rosaceae
Exons: 3
Source: RefSeq, a predicted model, not a curated record
AGUAAAAGAUAAAAAGACCUCCAUAACUUCACACACUGAAACCCUCUCCACAAUAUUUCCUACAAUCCCAAGGGCAAAAGCCGUAGUUCAAUGCUGUUACAGAGGCUUUAGAAACUAUACGAACUAUGAGCAUUUUGCAUUUGAAGUCUUCGAUGGUUCCGUGGCUUAGUCUUUGAUCUUCCAGGGCAGAGUAUUCCUAUGGCUUCUUCUUCAAUUUACAGUAGAACUAUUCUAUUUUGGCACUUCUAUGACUAAGGGGAGGAUGAGGAUAGUGAUGAAAGUGAUGAAAGUGAUAGUGACAAUGAUGGACAUGAUGUGGCUAGUAUGCAGCAAGACGAUGAUAUGCAUGGUUUAAUAGAAGAAGGUUAUCCAUAAGAUCCAAAUGGAGAUGCUCACAAGUUUUACAAAUUGUUAGAAGAGGCAGAACAACCAUUGUACGCUAGUUGUGAGUCGUAUUCUAAUUUGCCUUUUGUUGUGAACCUGAUGCAUAUCAAGGGUAUUUGUACUAUGAACAAUAAAGCAUUUGGUAUGUUGCUAACAUUGUUGAAAAAUGCAUUUCAUUUU